GACGAACGCUGGCGGCGUGCUUAACACAUGCAAGUGGAGCGACGAACCAGGGCUUGCCCUGGGGCAGAGCCGCGAACGGGUGAGUAACACGUGGGUAACCUGCCCCGAUGACCGGGACAACCCGAGGAAACUCGGGCUAAUACCGGAUGUGGAUCUCUUACAUCAGUAAGUUGUCUAAAGGUAGCUUCGGCUUCCGCAGUUGGGGAGGGGCCCGCGGCCCAUUAGCUUGUUGGUGAGGUAACGGCUACCAAGGCUUCGAUGGGUAGCUGGUCUGAGAGGACGAUCAGCCACACUGGGACUGAGACACGGCCCAGACUCCUACGGGAGGCAGCAGUGGGGAAUCUUGCGCAAUGCGCGAAAGCGUGACGCAGCAACGCCGCGUGGGG
This 386-nucleotide ribosomal RNA is filed under the name uncultured bacterium. RNAcentral's name for it is "bacterial SSU rRNA". It matches the Rfam family "Bacterial small subunit ribosomal RNA", at positions 28 to 406 of the family's 1533-position model. The record is from RNAcentral.